Molecule: long non-coding RNA, 989 nt
Organism: Ziziphus jujuba (common jujube)
Lineage: Eukaryota; Viridiplantae; Streptophyta; Magnoliopsida; Rosales; Rhamnaceae
Exons: 3
Source: RefSeq, a predicted model, not a curated record
GUGAGGAAAAACAAAAAGACAUACAUAAAUUUGAAAAUUUGUAGAAAAUAUUUCUCAAAAACUAAUUCCAAGAUCGAUCCUUUGUAGUAUAUCAAAAACAAGAUUCCUCUAUCAUUCUUCAGAACGUGGCCCGAAUCGGAUGCUCCAUGAAAGAGUAUGAAGUAUAUACAUACAUAUAUGUGUAUAUAUAUAGUUUGUCUAGCAUAGGACCUGCCUGAUAGUUAAGCGUCCGGACCAAAAAUAUGCCAAAAAACAUAUACAUACACUCGGACGGCUCAGAUUUAAAGGAACGUCACGUGAGAAAAAUUGCCAAAAUCUGAUUCCCAUUCGCACCACGCCUCUUCUCCUUUGAUUCGUAUUCAUCUUCUCCUACAGUUUUUUUUUUCCUCUGCUUCCACACUUCCAUCGUUCCAAGAGCCUACCUGACCUGACCAUUUCCCCGCUCGCACGCAAGCCACCACCAUCUCCACCUACCGUUGCAGCCACCAUUUCAGCCAUCCCAAAUCCAGCCCAACCGGCCACCGUGCAUGCCAGACCACUGCCACCACCAUCUCCUGCUCGCACGCAAGCCAUUCCAGCCCCACCGUUUGGACCAUUUCGGAGAGUAGUCGCCGUAAGUGCCUCGCCGGCUGAGUGCGAGAGGGUAAAAUUCGCGAAGUUUCCAAUCAGGAUUUCAAGAUAUUGUCUUGGGAAUUUUGUGCACACUGUCAUGAAGUAUACCAGCCUCAUAGCUUGGUUGAAUCACAGGUGCCUGUUCUUUGUGGUUACAAGAUCCAUGUGGUUAAAUUCAAGUACUGUUGAGAUAGUUCCUAAAUUUCGUAACUUUGGAUUUACUAUUCUCCGCUGAAGCAACAUUAAAUGUAAUAUAAGAUCUUGAAACAUGUCAUGAUUCCAGGUUAAUCAGUUUGUUAAUGCUGCCCAAAAAUACGAACAUUGUGUUUUGAAAACUGUUAAUACUGCCCAAAAAUACGAACACUGUUUUCCCUUUC